RNAcentral lists this ribosomal RNA (633 nucleotides) under uncultured bacterium. RNAcentral's name for it is "bacterial SSU rRNA". It matches the Rfam family "Bacterial small subunit ribosomal RNA", at positions 139 to 788 of the family's 1533-position model. The record is from RNAcentral.
GGGGAUAACGUUUGGAAACGAACGCUAAUACCGCAUAAGACCACACUUCCACAUGGGAGAGGGGUCAAAGGAGCAAUCCGCUGAAAGAUGGGCUCGCGUCCGAUUAGAUAGUUGGGGGGGUAACGGCCCACCAAGUCGACGAUCGGUAGCCGGACUGAGAGGUUGAACGGCCACAUUGGGACUGAGACACGGCCCAGACUCCUACGGGAGGCAGCAGUGAGGGAUAUUGGUCAAUGGGGGAAACCCUGAACCAGCAACGCCGCGUGAGGGAAGACGGUUUUCGGAUUGUAAACCUCUGUCCUCUGUGAAGAUAAUGACGGUAGCAGAGGAGGAAGCUCCGGCUAACUACGUGCCAGCAGCCGCGGUAAUACGUAGGGAGCGAGCGUUGUCCGGAUUUACUGGGUGUAAAGGGUGCGUAGGCGGGUAAGCAAGUCAGAAGUGAAAUCCAUGGGCUUAACCCAUGAACUGCUUUUGAAACUGUUUAUCUUGAGUGAAGUAGAGGUAGGCGGAAUUCCCGGUGUAGCGGUGAAAUGCGUAGAGAUCGGGAGGAACACCAGUGGCGAAGGCGGCCUACUGGGCUUUAACUGACGCUGAAGCACGAAAGCGUGGGUAGCAAACAGGAUUAGAUACCCU